Molecule: unclassified non-coding RNA, 166 nt
Filed under: uncultured Basidiomycota
Lineage: Eukaryota; Fungi; Basidiomycota
Description: sequence contains ITS1
Source: RNAcentral
CAGAUAUACAUUAAAUAUAUCUUCCAACCCCCUUUUAACUGUGAACUUUUGGUGUAAGUAAAGCUAGUGCCCCUAUUUGAAUAGGGGCUUUAGAUCUUACAAUCCAAAUUUUUUCAUAUACACAAUACCUAUGUAUGUACAAUGAAUGAUAAUGAAUAAAUAAAAA